Molecule: non-coding RNA, 23 nt
Filed under: Arabidopsis thaliana (thale cress)
Lineage: Eukaryota; Viridiplantae; Streptophyta; Magnoliopsida; Brassicales; Brassicaceae
Source: RNAcentral
ACUAGGAUGGGUGACCUCCCGGG